RNAcentral lists this unclassified non-coding RNA (348 nucleotides) under soil metagenome. RNAcentral describes it as "partial contains 5.8S ribosomal RNA, internal transcribed spacer 2, and large subunit ribosomal RNA". The stretch from base 1 to 120 matches the Rfam family "5.8S ribosomal RNA", at positions 35 to 154 of the family's 154-position model. The record is from RNAcentral.
GAUGAAGAACGUAGCGAAAUGCGAAAAGUAAUGUGAAUUGCAGAAUUCAGUGAAUCAUCGAAUCUUUGAACGCACAUUGCGCCCGCCAGUAUUCUGGCGGGCAUGCCUGUCUGAGCGUCAUUUCAACCCUCAAGCCCCCGGGUUUGGUGUUGGGGAUCGGCUCUGCCCUUCUGGGCGGUGCCGCCCCCGAAAUACAUUGGCGGUCUCGCUGCAGCCUCCAUUGCGUAGUAGCUAACACCUCGCAACUGGAACGCGGCGCGGCCACGACGUAAAACCCCAACUUCUGAAUGUUGACCUCGGAUCAGGUAGGAAUACCCGCUGAACUUAAGCAUAUCAAUAAGCGGAGGA